Long non-coding RNA from Portunus trituberculatus (swimming crab), 219 nucleotides. RefSeq lists it as uncharacterized. Lineage: Eukaryota; Metazoa; Arthropoda; Malacostraca; Decapoda; Portunidae. The record is from RefSeq and is a predicted model, not a curated record. The transcript has 3 exons.
GCGGUGGUGCCUCAGAGGGACCAGGAAACCCCCCGCCCCCAGGAGUAAAGGGGGAUACGCGCCCCCCGCACAUCUAGAUGACGAAGACUUGCCCUUUGAAAUUCCCUCGAUCAUCCUGGAGCCACACCGGGAGCUGGAACACGACAUCGCGGACGAAGCAUUAUGAAGAAAGUGAACAAGUGAACAAUCUUUUUAUCAAUGUUUCGUCUCUCUGUGCCA